AUAGGCUUUUUUUUUUUUUGAGGAAAAAGAAGAAAGAGAAAGAGACAAAGGAAAAGGAGAAAGACAAGAGAGGAAGAAGCAGGAGGAAAACAGUGGAGAGAAGAAGAAAAAAGAGAAAAAAUAAAUUACAGCUAUCUGGGCUUCCAUGGGAGUGCCAACUCUGACAGCUGAGACAUCUCUGACUUGGCUCUUUCACCUCUUGUGCAAGGGAAGAACAGCACUAUUUUUAAAGGAGGUCAUUAGUUUUGGAAAUCACUAGUGGGUAAAAAAGACCAAUUUGCAACUAGGCUCUCAUGCUCUAUUGAAAACUAUGUCACAAUAUCACAAUACUAGAUGCUGGGCUCAAGAGAGCAAACAGAAAGCAGCAAGGGCAGUGACUGGAAGCUGGGAGAGAGGGUCAACAGCUGAAUCUCAGCCUGAUGGAGGCCACCAUUUAAUAAGUAAAUACAUGCACAGCUAUUUAGAUCCUGCAUCAGACCGCUUCCUCAGACAGGUCAUCAGAAAACAUGAAGCUAAAUGCAGUAAAGAAUUACUCUCUUGAACUCUUGAAAAUAUCAUUUUCUUAUAGAAAUGGUUUAAAAAUUUCUUUUUUAUUAUUUUCCUUCAGAAAAUUGUGAGUUUUAACCUACAACACGUACACUCCAAGGUAAUGCCACUCUAAUGCUGUCUAGUUGAUCUGAAUAACUGGUAAAUUAUCAGAUCCACCAAACUCUCUGGAGAUUAACUUCUGCCAGCAUAUUG
Molecule: non-coding RNA, 741 nt
Filed under: Pan troglodytes (chimpanzee)
Lineage: Eukaryota; Metazoa; Chordata; Mammalia; Primates; Hominidae
Source: RNAcentral